This is a long non-coding RNA of Spea bombifrons (plains spadefoot toad), 198 nucleotides long. RefSeq lists it as uncharacterized. The transcript has 2 exons. The record is from RefSeq and is a predicted model, not a curated record. NCBI's taxonomy places the organism in Eukaryota, Metazoa, Chordata, Amphibia, Anura, Pelobatidae.
UUUCAUAAAUGUUUGCAUAUAAAUUAUGCAUGGUUUUGAUGUUUUUUUCAUUAUUCAGAGGUAAGAAGGAACUCAUUUGCAGGGUGAAACCAAUCAGCCUAAAAACAGGGCAAGCUAGAUGCUGGAGGUUCAAUCACAGGACCACCAGGAUACAGUGCAACAGGUUGGGGUAGGCACAGAAUAUGUGAGCUAUGGAUC